Molecule: ribosomal RNA, 466 nt
Filed under: uncultured bacterium
Lineage: Bacteria
Description: partial 16S ribosomal RNA
Rfam family: Bacterial small subunit ribosomal RNA
Source: RNAcentral
GACGAACGCUGGCGGCGUGCUUAACACAUGCAAGUCGAACGGUAAGGCUCCAGCUUGCUGGGGUACACGAGUGGCGAACGGGUGAGUAACACGUGGGUGACCUGCCCUGCACUUCGGGAUAAGCCUGGGAAACUGGGUCUAAUACCGGAUAGGACCAUGGUGUGGAUACUGUGGUGGAAAGUUUUUUCGGUGUGGGAUGGGCCCGCGGCCUAUCAGCUUGUUGGUGGGGUAAUGGCCUACCAAGGCGGCGACGGGUAGCCGGCCUGAGAGGGUGGACGGCCACAUUGGGACUGAGACACGGCCCAGACUCCUACGGGAGGCAGCAGUGGGGAAUAUUGCACAAUGGGCGGAAGCCUGAUGCAGCGAAGCCGCGUGGGGGAUGAAGGCCUUCGGGUUGUAAACUCCUUUCACCAUCGACGAAGGGUUUCUGACGGUAGAUGGAGAAGAAGCACCGGCUAACUACGUG